CCUACGGGUGGCUGCAGUCGAGAAUUUUUCUCAAUGGGGGAAACCCUGAAGGAGCGACGCCGCGUGGAGGAUGAAGGCUUUCGGGUUGUAAACUCCUGUCAUUUGGGAACUAGUACCAGAAGAGGAAGAGACGGCUAACUCUGUGCCAGCAGCCGCGGUAAUACAGAGGUCUCAAGCGUUGUUCGGAUUCAUUGGGCGUAAAGGGUGCGUAGGUGGCGCUGUAAGUCGGGUGUGAAAUUUCGGAGCUUAACUCCGAAACUGCAUUCGAUACUGCGGUGCUUGAGGACUGGAGAGGAGACUGGAAUUCAUGGUGUAGCAGUGAAAUGCGUAGAGAUCAUGAGGAAGACCAGUGGCGAAGGCGGGUCUCUGGACAGUCCUGACACUGAGGCACGAAGGCCAGGGGAGCAAACGGGAUUAGAUACCCUUGUAGUC
This 432-nucleotide ribosomal RNA is filed under the name uncultured bacterium. Its description in RNAcentral is "partial 16S ribosomal RNA". It matches the Rfam family "Bacterial small subunit ribosomal RNA", at positions 338 to 795 of the family's 1533-position model. The record is from RNAcentral.